This 1494-nucleotide ribosomal RNA is filed under the name uncultured Bordetella sp. RNAcentral describes it as "partial 16S-23S ribosomal RNA intergenic spacer". It matches the Rfam family "Bacterial small subunit ribosomal RNA". Lineage: Bacteria; Pseudomonadati; Pseudomonadota; Betaproteobacteria; Burkholderiales; Alcaligenaceae. The record is from RNAcentral.
AGUUUGAUUAUGGCUCAGAUUGAACGCUGGCGGGAUGCUUUACAUGCAAGUCGAACGGCAGCACGGACUUCGGUCUGGUGGCGAGUGGCGAACGGGUGAGUAAUGUAUCCCGGAACGUGCCUAGUAGCGGGGGAUAACUACGCGAAAGCGUAGCUAAUACCACAUACGCCCUUCGGAGGAAAGCGGGGGACCUUCGGGCCUCGCACUAUUAGAAGGGCGGCCGAUAUCCGGAUUAGCUAGUUGGUGGGGGUAACAGCUCACCAAGGCGACGAUCCGUAGCUGGUUUUGAGAGGAUUAUGUUACACUGGGACUGAGACACGGCCCAGACUCCUACGGGGAGGCAGCAGUGGGGAAUUUUGGACAAUGGGGAAAGCCUGAUCCAGCCAUCCCGCGUGUGCGAUGAAGGCCUUCGGGUUGUAAAGCACUUUUGGCAGGAAAGAAACGGCACGGGAUAAUACCCCGUGCAACUGACGGUACCUGCAGAAUAAGCACCGGCUAACUACGUGCCAGCAGCCGCGGUAAUACGUAGGGUGCAAGCGUUAAUCGGAAUUACUGGGCGUAAAGCGUGCGCAGGCGGUUCGGAAAGAAAAGAUGUGAAAUCCCAGAGCUUAACUUUGGAACUGCAUUUUUAACUACCGAGCUAGAGUGUGUCAGAGGGAGGUGGAAUUCCGCGUGUAGCAGUGAAAUGCGUAGAUAUGCGGAGGGGAACACCGAUGGCGAAGGCAGCCUCGGAGAUAACACUGACGCUCACCAUGCACGAAAACGUGGGGAGCAAACGGGAUUAGAUACCCUGGUAGUCCACGCCCUAAACGAUGUCAAUGGCUGUUGGGGCCUUCGGGCCUUGGUAGCGCAGCUAACGCGUGAAGUUGACCGCCUGGGAAAUACGGUCGCAGACAAAACUCAAAGGAAUUGACGGGGACACACAAGCGGUGGAUGAUGUGGAUUAAUUCGAUGCAACGCGAAAAACCUUACCUACCCUUGACAUAUCUGGAAUCCCGAAGAGAUUUGGGGAGUGCUCGCAAGAGAACCGGAACACAGGUGCUGCAUGGCUGUCGUCAGCUCGUGUCGUGAGAAUGUUGGGUUAAGUCCCGCAACGACGCAACCCUUGUCAUUAGUUGCUACGAAGGAGGCACUCUAAUGAGGACACCGGUGACAAACCGGAGGAAGGUGGGGAUGACGUCAAGUCCUCAUGGCCCUUAUGGGUGGGGCUUCACACGUCAUACAAUGGUCCAAGCGAAGGGUCGCCAACCCGCGAGGGGGGAGCCAAUCCCAGAAACCCGAUCAUAGUCCGGAUCGCAGUCUGCAACUCGACCUGCAAUGAAGUCGGAAUCGCUAGUAAUCGCGGAUCAGCAUGUCGCGGUGAAUACGUUCCCGGGUCUUGUACACACCGCCCGUCACACCAUGGGAGUGGGUUUUACCAGAAGUAGUUAGCCUAACCGCAAGGGCGAUUACCACGGUAGGAUUCAUGACUGGGGUGAAGUCAUGCUCAGGUAA